UUCGCCUGUAUAAAUUGUGUUGAGACAACCCAAGAUUUCCUUCAUGCUGUAUAAAUCAUACUGCAGGUUCAUAAUUGGAUAAGAGCAAAUAAUAGGUGAGGUGAUGUAUGGCAAAUCAGAUCAUCCAGCACAAAGCAUAUUGUAAAGGUCCACGAAUUCAUAAAAAAAAAAUACUCCGUGAAGACCACGUCAUUAUUUAUAUCGUCUCUGUACUCCACCUUUGUUGCAAUCUCAAAUAUCCAGCCGAUAAUUACAACUGAACAUUGUCUGCCUUCUUUUAAAAAUCUAUACCAUUUUACCUGUGCAAUGUAAAGCAGUUAUCUAGGUGGUUUUCUUAAUUGCAACACCUACAUACCUAUGGCAGCUCAACAUAUUAUGAGAAAAACUUCCCGGUGUUUUUAUGCCUAUAAAUGUUACGAGGUUUUUAUUCCUUGCCCGCUAAAAAUCAUAGUCUUUGACCAUAUAUGUCACACAUCAUUCCCCCAUGUUAUUGAUACUUUGUUUGCAAUUUUAUUAUGUUCAGGGAGGAUAACGUUUUAAAACCAGGUUUUUAUCAUCGAAUCUUCUAGGAUGCUCGUGAUUAAGAAAAG
Molecule: long non-coding RNA, 590 nt
Filed under: Setaria viridis
Lineage: Eukaryota; Viridiplantae; Streptophyta; Magnoliopsida; Poales; Poaceae
Description: long non-coding RNA (SVIR_LNC009462)
Source: RNAcentral